AACAGGAUUAGAUACCCUGGUAGUCCACGCCGUAAACGAUGUCGACUUGGAGGUUGUGCCCUUGAGGCGUGGCUUCCGGAGCUAACGCGUUAAGUCGACCGCCUGGGGAGUACGGCCGCAAGGUUAAAACUCAAAUGAAUUGACGGGGGCCCGCACAAGCGGUGGAGCAUGUGGUUUAAUUCGAUGCAACGCGAAGAACCUUACCUGGUCUUGACAUCCACAGAACUUUCCAGAGAUGGAUUGGUGCCUUCGGGAACUGUGAGACAGGUGCUGCAUGGCUGUCGUCAGCUCGUGUUGUGAAAUGUUGGGUUAAGUCCCGCAACGAGCGCAACCCUUAUCUUUUGUUGCCAGCGGUCCGGCCGGGAACUCAAAGGAGACUGCCAGUGAUAAACUGGAGGAAGGUGGGGAUGACGUCAAGUCAUCAUGGCCCUUACGACCAGGGCUACACACGUGCUACAAUGGCGCAUACAAAGAGAAGCGACCUCGCGAGAGCAAGCGGACCUCAUAAAGUGCGUCGUAGUCCGGAUUGGAGUCUGCAACUCGACUCCAUGAAGUCGGAAUCGCUAGUAAUCGUGGAUCAGAAUGCCACGGUGAAUACGUUCCCGGGCCUUGUACACACCGCCCGUCACACCAUGGGAGUGGGUUGCAAAAGAAGUAGGUAGCUUAACCUUCGGGAGGGCGCUUACCACUUUGUGAUUCAUGACUGGGGUGAAGUCGUAACAAGGUAUC
This 729-nucleotide ribosomal RNA is filed under the name uncultured bacterium. Its description in RNAcentral is "bacterial SSU rRNA". It matches the Rfam family "Bacterial small subunit ribosomal RNA", at positions 771 to 1500 of the family's 1533-position model. The record is from RNAcentral.